Molecule: long non-coding RNA, 289 nt
Filed under: Hordeum vulgare
Lineage: Eukaryota; Viridiplantae; Streptophyta; Magnoliopsida; Poales; Poaceae
Description: long non-coding RNA (HVUL_LNC008889)
Source: RNAcentral
GCAAAAAUAUACCGGAGAGGAGUCCCGAGGCAGUCUGUGAUGCCCUCGAUCUAAUCGUAUGCUAAACAUACACGCAAAUGUGUACGAUCAAAUUCAAGGACUCACGGGAAGAUAUCACGACACAACUCUAGACACAAAUAAAACAUACAAGCUUCAUAUUACAAGCCAGGGGCCACGAGGGAUAGAAUACGGAAGCUCUAUAAGCAGACGAGUCAGCGGAAGCAACAAUAUCUGAGUACAAACAUUAAACAUGGGGUUCCUUAGAGAAGGCUAGCACAAAAGAUACACG